Molecule: long non-coding RNA, 1954 nt
Organism: Oreochromis aureus
Lineage: Eukaryota; Metazoa; Chordata; Actinopteri; Cichliformes; Cichlidae
Source: Ensembl
CCCGGAAGUAGGAUUCGUCACGUUAUCACUGAACAACCGGAUAGGAAAAACCUUAAAUUAAGACCAAGAACACUAGAGGUGAGACAUGAUCAUUAAUUAAUAUUAAAAUUAAUAAAUGACAGAUUUAGUGAUAUUUUCAUAAACACCUCCUUUCCUUUUUUUGUUCUCCAUUUUCUUUAGUUCGUCUAUAAGAUUGCUAAACAAGGGGAAGGGUGCAUCCGGCCUCCUCGGCUGUAAUUGGUCCAGCCCAGAGGCGAUCAUGACCAAUUGGCCAAUCCAACACCUUUCAUUAUAUAUACCCUUCCUAAAAUAAAAAAUUUUAAAAAAAUCCAUCGGCCCAUAAAAACAAAAAAUCGCCAGCGGCCCACCGGGCAAAUGCCCGGUAUGCCCGAUGGCCAGUCCAGCUAUGGCUUCUGCCCUGUCUCAUUAUGAUUAUCUGUGUCAGCUGUGUUCCCCGUGUGUUCCCAUGUCCCUCGUUAUCCUUCUGUGUAUUUAUGUCCGCGUCUCCCUCAGUUCUUUGUCGCAUUCUCCCUCUUAGCUGUGUGACUUUCCCCGUGAGUUUAGUUUUCCCAGUUUAGCUUUGUACUGGUUUCUGUAUCGCCUCUUUCCCGUUCUGUUAAUAAAGCUAUAUUUUGAGUUAAGUCCCCGUUCUGGUGAGUUUGCGUUUGGGUCCAAUUCCUGCCUGCACACAGCUGAUUAUGAGAGAAGAAGGCAACCACGACAUGGACCCAGCAGCUCCCAACCCCUCCGCUGAGCUCCGAGCGGACCUAGUUUUCACGGUGCAGUAUCUUUGUCAAGAGUGGGUAGUGCUGCCGGUCCCGGAGUACCAGGAGGUGUUAGCUACCCGUUUACAGAGGAUGGUUUUCGGACUCCCCUGGCUAUUCAGCGUGCUACACCCCCUCAUCCAGGACUUCCUCGUUUCCACUGUACACGUCCGCCCGGAGCUGCCUCUCCAGUAUGACGAGCCGGAGGAUGUUCAGCCCGGUCAGCUGGAGGAUUCGCGGCCUGGCUCGUCUCCUCCCCCUUCCCGGAGAAAACAGCGGUCAUGCCGGUGAUCCCAAGCAGCGGAGCAGCUUUCUUCCUUUGAGAGUGAUCGUGUUUCUCACGUUCCGCUAGAGCAUUCAGCUCCCGGGUUUCCUGACAUUACAUCCUCUUAAUGGGGGUCGCUUGGAUGGGUGACGAAACGUUGGUCCCACUGAAAACGCUACAUCCAGAUGAACGCAGUCAACUUUUCCUGGGAUUUCCUUACCUGGAUGAUGGAGCAUGCAUCAAGACGGUGCACUUGGAAAUUAUUUCAAUAUCAUCAUUAAAGCUGAAAUGUGUUGGAGUGAAAUAUGGAAAACGAACUUUUAAAAAAGAUUGAGAAUUUGAAGAACACUUACAAUAUCAUUAAAAUAGUACAGGUUUUUAGAGAUAUGUGCCAUUGUUUCCUUUGAAACACAAAGUCUUGUUUUGUGUUCCUGACAGCCACAAGACCUGCACCAGCUGGGCUCUCACUCCCUCACAGCUAUAAGGCCUCAUGUCUUCUGGGGUGACUCAAACACAAUAAACCACAAAAUAACAGACAAAUUGGGGCAGAUGGAGGAGGGAGAUGACGAGGGAAAAAUUUUGUCUGUGAAAGACGAAAAGGACAUGGAGGGGAAACAAAGAAAACAUAAAGGUGCAUGACGAGGCAUCAAUAAAACAAGAAAAGAGGAAGAUGUGUUUUGUCUGUUGACAGGUAAAACAGGCCUACCCUUUGCAGCUUCAACACUUCUUGGGAGGCUUUCCAUAUGGUUUAGCAGUGUGUUCCUGAGAAUCCCUGAGACUGAUGUUGGACAAGAAGGCCUGGCUUGCAGUCUCCACUCUAAUUCAUCUCAAAGGUGUUGAGUCGAGGUCAGGACUCUGUGCAGGCCAGUCAAGUUCUUCCACACCAAACUCACUCAAUCAUAUCUUUGUGGGCAUUGCUUUGUAC